Molecule: ribosomal RNA, 254 nt
Filed under: uncultured bacterium
Lineage: Bacteria
Description: partial 16S ribosomal RNA
Rfam family: Bacterial small subunit ribosomal RNA
Source: RNAcentral
UACGGGGGGAGCAAGCGUUGUUCGGAUUUACUGGGCGCAAAGGGCGCGUAGGCGGCCAGCGCAAGUCAGUUGUGAAAUCUCCGGGCUUAACUCGGAACGGUCAACUGAUACUGCGCGGCUAGAGUGCAGAAGGGGCAACUGGAAUUCUCGGUGUAGCGGUGAAAUGCGUAGAUAUCGAGAGGAACACCUGCGGCGAAGGCGGGUUGCUGGGCUGACACUGACGCUGAUGCGCGAAAGCCAGGGGAGCGAACGGG